CUUAUGCUCAUUCUAGUUGAUUAGUUAAGAUGCGAAAACUAUAUAAGAAACAAGUGAUUUUUUGAAGCUUUCAUAGUUAUGAAAAAAAAAAAAAGCUUAGCCUUCAAUAUUCAAGAAUUUAAAACUACUUACGAAACGCUUUUUCGCCUCGUUGAUCUUAGCAUCAAGCUCCUCCAAAGCCUCCUUGUGAAGAGCUUCAUUAGGACGAACGGGUUUAUGAGAUGACAUUUUUAUUAAGGAUUUUGUUGUUGGUGGUGGAUAGUGGUGUGUGUUGAGUUGUCGUUUAACGAGUAUAUAACAAGGCAGAUAAACUCCGUUUGUUUUGCUUCCCUAGAGUUUUCGUUCGCAGUGCUGUGAAGGAGACUACCUGUUUCUGAAAUUUUUAUAAAUAGCUUUUUGUUGACGGUUAUUCAGACAUCGUGUGAAGAGCAGUCUAAGGAAAAGAUUACGAUAAUACAUGUUAUGAUAUUUUUUUUUUAUUUAUUUAAAUAAACUGGUAGUUUUUUGCACUCGUC
This is a non-coding RNA of Schizosaccharomyces pombe (fission yeast), 515 nucleotides long. The record is from the annotation of a GenBank genome assembly. Lineage: Eukaryota; Fungi; Ascomycota; Schizosaccharomycetes; Schizosaccharomycetales; Schizosaccharomycetaceae.